This 2988-nucleotide ribosomal RNA is filed under the name Salmonella enterica subsp. enterica serovar Infantis. RNAcentral describes it as "23S ribosomal RNA". It matches the Rfam family "Bacterial large subunit ribosomal RNA". Lineage: Bacteria; Pseudomonadati; Pseudomonadota; Gammaproteobacteria; Enterobacterales; Enterobacteriaceae. The record is from RNAcentral.
GGUUAAGCGACUAAGCGUACACGGUGGAUGCCCUGGCAGUCAGAGGCGAUGAAGGGCGUGCUAAUCUGCGAUAAGCGCCGGUAAGGUGAUAUGAACCGUUAUAACCGGCGAUACCCGAAUGGGGAAACCCAGUGUGACUCGUCACACUAUCAUUAACUGAAUCCAUAGGUUAAUGAGGCGAACCGGGGGAACUGAAACAUCUAAGUACCCCGAGGAAAAGAAAUCAACCGAGAUUCCCCCAGUAGCGGCGAGCGAACGGGGAGGAGCCCAGAGCCUGAAUCAGCAUGUGUGUUAGUGGAAGCGUCUGGAAAGGCGCGCGAUACAGGGUGACAGCCCCGUACACAAAAAGCGCAUGUGCUGUGAGCUCGAUGAGUAGGGCGGGACACGUGGUAUCCUGUCUGAAUAUGGGGGGACCAUCCUCCAAGGCUAAAUACUCCUGACUGACCGAUAGUGAACCAGUACCGUGAGGGAAAGGCGAAAAGAACCCCGGCGAGGGGAGUGAAAAAGAACCUGAAACCGUGUACGUACAAGCAGUGGGAGCACAGGUUUACCUGUGUGACUGCGUACCUUUUGUAUAAUGGGUCAGCGACUUAUAUUCUGUAGCAAGGUUAACCGAAUAGGGGAGCCGGAGGGAAACCGAGUCUUAACCGGGCGUUAAGUUGCAGGGUAUAGACCCGAAACCCGGUGAUCUAGCCAUGGGCAGGUUGAAGGUUGGGUAACACUAACUGGAGGACCGAACCGACUAAUGUUGAAAAAUUAGCGGAUGACCUGUGGCUGGGGGUGAAAGGCCAAUCAAACCGGGAGAUAGCUGGUUCUCCCCGAAAGCUAUUUAGGUAGCGCCUCGUGAAUUCAUCUCCGGGGGUAGAGCACUGUUUCGGCUAGGGGGCCAUCCCGGCUUACCAACCCGAUGCAAACUGCGAAUACCGGAGAAUGUUAUCACGGGAGACACACGGCGGGUGCUAACGUCCGUCGUGAAGAGGGAAACAACCCAGACCGCCAGCUAAGGUCCCAAAGUCAUGGUUAAGUGGGAAACGAUGUGGGAAGGCCCAGACAGCCAGGAUGUUGGCUUAGAAGCAGCCAUCAUUUAAAGAAAGCGUAAUAGCUCACUGGUCGAGUCGGCCUGCGCGGAAGAUGUAACGGGGCUAAACCAUGCACCGAAGCUGCGGCAGCGAACGUAUCACUUAAAGCGAUUCAGCGGGUUACGAUUGACGGAGCGAAGCGACGUCAAAGCGUAUACAAAGUCGAGUCGGUUUAAGGAUACGUUCGUUGGGUAGGGGAGCGUUCUGUAAGCCUGUGAAGGUGUGUCGUGAGGCAUGCUGGAGGUAUCAGAAGUGCGAAUGCUGACAUAAGUAACGAUAAAGCGGGUGAAAAGCCCGCUCGCCGGAAGACCAAGGGUUCCUGUCCAACGUUAAUCGGGGCAGGGUGAGUCGACCCCUAAGGCGAGGCCGAAAGGCGUAGUCGAUGGGAAACGGGUUAAUAUUCCCGUACUUGGUGUUACUGCGAAGGGGGGACGGAGAAGGCUAUGUUGGCCGGGCGACGGUUGUCCCGGUUUAAGCGUGUAGGCUGGUUUUCCAGGCAAAUCCGGAAAAUCAAGGCUGAGGCGUGAUGACGAGGCACUACGGUGCUGAAGCAACAAAUGCCCUGCUUCCAGGAAAAGCCUCUAAGCAUCAGGUAACAUCAAAUCGUACCCCAAACCGACACAGGUGGUCAGGUAGAGAAUACCAAGGCGCUUGAGAGAACUCGGGUGAAGGAACUAGGCAAAAUGGUGCCGUAACUUCGGGAGAAGGCACGCUGACACGUAGGUGAAGUGAUUUACUCAUGGAGCUGAAGUCAGUCGAAGAUACCAGCUGGCUGCAACUGUUUAUUAAAAACACAGCACUGUGCAAACACGAAAGUGGACGUAUACGGUGUGACGCCUGCCCGGUGCCGGAAGGUUAAUUGAUGGGGUCAGCGCAAGCGAAGCUCCUGAUCGAAGCCCCGGUAAACGGCGGCCGUAACUAUAACGGUCCUAAGGUAGCGAAAUUCCUUGUCGGGUAAGUUCCGACCUGCACGAAUGGCGUAAUGAUGGCCAGGCUGUCUCCACCCGAGACUCAGUGAAAUUGAACUCGCUGUGAAGAUGCAGUGUACCCGCGGCAAGACGGAAAGACCCCGUGAACCUUUACUAUAGCUUGACACUGAACAUUGAGCCUUGAUGUGUAGGAUAGGUGGGAGGCUUUGAAGCGUGGACGCCAGUCUGCGUGGAGCCGACCUUGAAAUACCACCCUUUAAUGUUUGAUGUUCUAACGUGGACCCGUGAUCCGGGUUGCGGACAGUGUCUGGUGGGUAGUUUGACUGGGGCGGUCUCCUCCUAAAGAGUAACGGAGGAGCACGAAGGUUGGCUAAUCCUGGUCGGACAUCAGGAGGUUAGUGCAAUGGCAUAAGCCAGCUUGACUGCGAGCGUGACGGCGCGAGCAGGUGCGAAAGCAGGUCAUAGUGAUCCGGUGGUUCUGAAUGGAAGGGCCAUCGCUCAACGGAUAAAAGGUACUCCGGGGAUAACAGGCUGAUACCGCCCAAGAGUUCAUAUCGACGGCGGUGUUUGGCACCUCGAUGUCGGCUCAUCACAUCCUGGGGCUGAAGUAGGUCCCAAGGGUAUGGCUGUUCGCCAUUUAAAGUGGUACGCGAGCUGGGUUUAGAACGUCGUGAGACAGUUCGGUCCCUAUCUGCCGUGGGCGCUGGAGAACUGAGGGGGGCUGCUCCUAGUACGAGAGGACCGGAGUGGACGCAUCACUGGUGUUCGGGUUGUCAUGCCAAUGGCACUGCCCGGUAGCUAAAUGCGGAAGAGAUAAGUGCUGAAAGCAUCUAAGCACGAAACUUGCCCCGAGAUGAGUUCUCCCUGAGACUUAAAGUCUCCUGAAGGAACGUUGAAGACGACGACGUUGAUAGGCCGGGUGUGUAAGCGCAGCGAUGCGUUGAGCUAACCGGUACUAAUGAACCGUGAGGCUUAACCUU